This 112-nucleotide ribosomal RNA is filed under the name Caerostris darwini. The record is from RNAcentral. Lineage: Eukaryota; Metazoa; Arthropoda; Arachnida; Araneae; Araneidae.
AACGGCCGUACCAUGCUGAAUAUACCGGUUUUCGUUAGAUCACCGAAGUCAAGCAUCAUUGGGCGCGGUCAGUACUUGGGUGGGUGACCACCUGGGAACACCGCGUGCCGUU